GACGAACGCUGGCGGCGUGUUUAACACAUGCAAGUCGAACGGAAAGUCCCUGCCUUUGUGGGCUGCUCGAGUGGCGAACGGGUGAGUAACACGUGAGUAACCUGUCCUUGACUUUGGGAUAACCUCAGGAAACUGGGGCUAAUACCGCAUAGGAGCUCCUGCUGCAUGGUGGGCGCUGGAAAGUUUCGGCGGUUGGGGGUGUAAUCGCGGCUUAUCAGGUUGAUGGUGGGGUAGUGGCUAACCAAGGUCAUGACAGGUAGCCGGCCUGGGCGGGGGACCGGACACGCUAGGCUGGAGAUGAGACACAGCCCAGACUCGGACGGGAGGGAGGAGUGGGGAAUAUAAUGGGAGGGAGGAUAGCGUGACACCGCCACGCGGGGGGAGUGAGGAAGGGCGUAGGGUUGUGAAGUUCCCUGACACGGGAUGAUAAUGACAGUAACGGGUGAAGAAGCACCGGCUAACUACGUG
Molecule: ribosomal RNA, 468 nt
Filed under: uncultured bacterium
Lineage: Bacteria
Description: partial 16S ribosomal RNA
Rfam family: Bacterial small subunit ribosomal RNA
Source: RNAcentral